GGUCAUGAGUGCCAGUGCCAAGCCCCGGCUCGCUGGUCGGCAACCCUCCUGCGACGGCGGGGUGCUCCGGGUGAGGACCUGGCCGGUCGGCAGUCGACCGGCAAGCGUCGAAC
Molecule: non-coding RNA, 113 nt
Filed under: Microlunatus phosphovorus
Lineage: Bacteria; Bacillati; Actinomycetota; Actinomycetes; Propionibacteriales; Propionibacteriaceae
Also listed under: 1 other name
Description: SAM-IV sequence
Rfam family: SAM (S-adenosyl methionine) riboswitch aptamer
About the family: SAM-IV is a mRNA element that regulates gene expression via direct sensing of S-adenosylmethionine (SAM or AdoMet).
Source: RNAcentral